GUCAUUACCUAGGUGGUGUUAUUAAGGGGAGAGGUGUGUCAUUACCUAGGUGUUAUUAUUAAGGGGAGAGGUGUGUCAUUACCUAGGUGGUGUUAUUAAGGGGAAAGGUGUGUCAUUAUCUAGGUGUUGUUAUUAAGGGGAGAGGUGUGUCAUUAUUUAGGUGGUGUUAUAAUGAAGGGGAGAGGUGUGUCAUUACCUAGGUGGUGUUAUUAAGGGGAGAGGUGUGUCAUUAUCUAGGUGGUGUUAUGAAGGGGUGCGGUGUGUCAUUAUCUAGGUGGUGUUAUGAAGGGGAGAGGUGUGUCAUUAUCUAGGUGGUGUUAUGAAGGGGAGAGGUGUGUCAUUAUCUAGGUGGUGUUAUGAAGGGGAGAGGUGUGUCAUUAUCUAGGUGGUGUUAUGAAGGGGAGAUGUGUGUCAUUAUCUAGGUGGUGUUAAAAUUGGGAGAGGUGUGUCAUUACCUAGGUGGUGUUAUGAAGGGGAGAGGUGUGUCAUUAUCUAGGUGGUGUUAUGAAUGGGAGAGGUGUGUCAUUAUCUAGGUGGUGUUAUGAAGGGGAGAGGUGUGUCAUUAUCUAGGUGGUGUUAUGAAGGGAAGAGG
Esox lucius (northern pike) is the source of this 592-nucleotide long non-coding RNA. NCBI's taxonomy places the organism in Eukaryota, Metazoa, Chordata, Actinopteri, Esociformes, Esocidae. The record is from Ensembl.